RNAcentral lists this ribosomal RNA (424 nucleotides) under uncultured bacterium. Its description in RNAcentral is "bacterial SSU rRNA". It matches the Rfam family "Bacterial small subunit ribosomal RNA", at positions 355 to 796 of the family's 1533-position model. The record is from RNAcentral.
UGGGGAAUCUUGCACAAUGGAGGAAACUCUGAUGCAGCGACGCCGCGUGAGCGAUGAAGCCCUUCGGGGUGUAAAGCUCUUUCGACGGGAACGAUAAUGACGGUACCCGAAGAAGAAGCUGCGGCUAACUACGUGCCAGCAGCCGCGGUAAUACGUAGGCAGCGAGCGUUGUUCGGAAUUACUGGGCGUAAAGAGUGUGUAGGCGGUGUUCUAAGUCUGGUGUGAAAUCUCCCGGCUCAACUGGGAGGGUGCGCCGGAAACUGGAAUGCUAGAGUGUGGGAGAGGUAAGCGGAAUUCCUGGUGUAGCGGUGAAAUGCGUAGAUAUCAGGAGGAACACCUGUGGUGUAGACAGCUUACUGGACCACGACUGACGCUGAGACACGAAAGCGUGGGUAGCAAACAGGAUUAGAUACCCCCGUAGUCC